RNAcentral lists this ribosomal RNA (432 nucleotides) under uncultured bacterium. RNAcentral's name for it is "partial 16S ribosomal RNA". It matches the Rfam family "Bacterial small subunit ribosomal RNA", at positions 338 to 795 of the family's 1533-position model. The record is from RNAcentral.
CCUACGGGGGGCAGCAGUAGGGAAUCUUCCGCAAUGGACGAAAGUCUGACGGAGCAACGCCGCGUGAGUGAAGAAGGUCUUCGGAUCGUAAAGCUCUGUUGUUAGGGAAGCGGUACCUGACGAGAAAGCCACGGCUAACUACGUGCCAGCAGCCGCGGUAAUACGUAGGUGGCAAGCGUUGUCCGGAUUUAUUGGGCGUAAAGCGCGCGCAGGCGGUCCUUUAAGUCUGAUGUGAAAUCUUGCGGCUCAACCGCAAGCGGUCAUUGGAAACUGGGGGACUUGAGUGCAGAAGAGGAAAGCGGAAUUCCACGUGUAGCGGUGAAAUGCGUAGAGAUGUGGAGGAACACCAGUGGCGAAGGCGGCUUUCUGGUCUGUACUGACGCUGAGGCGCGAAAGCGUGGGGAGCAAACAGGAUUAGAUACCCUUGUAGUC